RNAcentral lists this ribosomal RNA (881 nucleotides) under Calicium episcalaris. Its description in RNAcentral is "SSU rRNA". It matches the Rfam family "Bacterial small subunit ribosomal RNA", at positions 370 to 1299 of the family's 1533-position model. Lineage: Eukaryota; Fungi; Ascomycota; Lecanoromycetes; Caliciales; Caliciaceae. The record is from RNAcentral.
AAUAGCCUAACGGCUGAACCAGCAACUUGAAGGAAUGUAUAGCGAAAGCUAGUUGUGUUUAACUAGCCAUAAGUAGUUGGUGCAAUAUUGACUCGAUCAAAUAAAAUUCUGGGUAGAUUAUGAUUAUGACAUUUUCUAUCUAUGUGUCUUGACCAAAUUACGUGCCAGCAGUCGCGGUAACACGUAAAAGACUAGUGUUAUUCAUCUUUAAUAGGUUUAAAGGGUACCUAGACGGCUAAUCAAGCCCCCAGUAAAAGGGUACUAAUAAGCUAGAGUUUCAUGUAAGAGGGCAUUAAAGUACUGAGAACGUUGAGAGAUGAAAUUCUGUGAUACUAUAUACGGCACUGGUAAAGGCGAAAGCAUCCCAUUAUGUAAUAACUGACGUUGAGGGACGAAGGCUGUGUGUAGCAAAAAGGAUUAGAUACCCAAGUAGUCUCAGCAGAAAAUUAUGAAUGUCAUAGGACAGACGAAACGUUUGUACUAUAAAUGAAAGUGUAAACAUUCCACCUUAAGAGUAAUUUGGCAACAUUGGAACUGAAAUCAUUAGACCGUUUCUGAAACAAGUAGUGAAGUAUGUUGUUUAAUUUGAUGAUCCGCAAAAAACCUUACCACAAUUUGAAUAUAAUAGAUAUUUAUACAAGCGCUGCACGGUUGUCUUCAGUUAAUGUCGUGAGAUUAUGGUUAGUUCCAUCAAAUUAACGUAAACCCUUACUCUAUUUUAUUAUAGAGUAGUUCACCAUUAUAUUGGAUAUGAUAAAAGGGACUAAGACAAGUCAUCAUGGCCUAAAUAUUGUGGGCUAUAGACGUGCCACAUAUGCCUUAACAAAGGGAUGCAAAAUUGUGAAAUUGAGCUAAACCUUAAAUUUGGAUAAAAGCAAAAU